AGCUUGUUGGUGGGGUGAUGGCCUACCAAGGCGACGACGGGUAGCCGGCCUGAGAGGGCGACCGGCCACACUGGGACUGAGACACGGCCCAGACUCCUACGGGAGGCAGCAGUGGGGAAUAUUGCACAAUGGGCGAAAGCCUGAUGCAGCGACGCCGCGUGAGGGAUGACGGCCUUCGGGUUGUAAACCUCUUUCAGCAGGGAAGAAGCGAGAGUGACGGUACCUGCAGAAGAAGCGCCGGCUAACUACGUGCCAGCAGCCGCGGUAAUACGUAGGGCGCAAGCGUUGUCCGGAAUUAUUGGGCGUAAAGAGCUCGUAGGCGGCUUGUUGCGUCGGUUGUGAAAGCCCGGGGCUUAACCCCGGGUCUGCAGUCGAUACGGGCAGGCUAGAGUGUGGUAGGGGAGAUCGGAAUUCCUGGUGUAGCGGUGAAAUGCGCAGAUAUCAGGAGGAACACCGGUGGCGAAGGCGGAUCUCUGGGCCAUUACUGACGCUGAGGAGCGAAAGCGUGGGGAGCGAACAGGAUUAGAUACCCUGGUAGUCCACGCCGUAAACGUUGGGAAACUAGGUGUUGGCG
Molecule: ribosomal RNA, 574 nt
Filed under: Streptomyces sp.
Lineage: Bacteria; Bacillati; Actinomycetota; Actinomycetes; Kitasatosporales; Streptomycetaceae
Description: bacterial SSU rRNA
Rfam family: Bacterial small subunit ribosomal RNA
Source: RNAcentral